RNAcentral lists this ribosomal RNA (462 nucleotides) under Pichia ethanolica. Its description in RNAcentral is "[Candida] ethanolica partial 26S ribosomal RNA". The record is from RNAcentral. Lineage: Eukaryota; Fungi; Ascomycota; Pichiomycetes; Pichiales; Pichiaceae.
AACACUCCGAAGAGCCACUUUCCGGCACCACUUCUCUCGCAGCAAGAACCGAUGCUGGCCCAGAGAGCGCCCAGAGCGCCGCCUACAAGAGACAGCGGUGCGCACUCCCCAUGUCGGGCCCAAUACCCUUCCCUUUCAACAAUUUCACGUGCUGUUUCACUCUCUUUUCAAAGUGCUUUUCAUCUUUCCUUCACAGUACUUGUUCGCUAUCGGUCUCUCGCCAAUAUUUAGCCUUAGAUGGAAUUUACCACCCGCUUAGAGCUGCAUUCCCAAACAACUCGACUCGUCAGCAGGGCCUCAAAGCUUCGCGCAGCACCCCACGGGGCUCUCACCCUCUCAGGCACCCUGUUCCAAGGGACUUGGACACCGCGCUCCACAGAGACUCCCGCCUACACUCUACAACUCGUGCCGAAACACGAUUUCAAAUCUGAGCUCUUGCCGCUUCACUCGCCGCUACUGAGG